GCAAUCCUUGUCUUGGGGAGCAUAAUAUCCAAUGAACGUUUAGUGAGGAUAUUGAUGCUGACAACCCAUAGCUUCGGUAUGAUCUCGAUCGUAUCGUGAGAAACCCCCGCCCUGGGUAGUUGCUUUCGAACAGUGGCUACUUGGGCGGAAUUUUUGGGACG
Molecule: small nuclear RNA, 161 nt
Organism: Wyeomyia smithii (pitcher-plant mosquito)
Lineage: Eukaryota; Metazoa; Arthropoda; Insecta; Diptera; Culicidae
Product: U4atac minor spliceosomal RNA
Exons: 1
Source: RefSeq, a predicted model, not a curated record